Molecule: ribosomal RNA, 264 nt
Filed under: uncultured bacterium
Lineage: Bacteria
Description: partial 16S ribosomal RNA
Rfam family: Bacterial small subunit ribosomal RNA
Source: RNAcentral
GAUGAACGCUAGCGGCAGGCCUAAUACAUGCAAGUCGAGGGGGCAGCAAUGUCACCGGCGGACGGGUGCGUAACACGUUUGGAAUCUGCCUUGUACAGGGGGAUAGCCCGCCGAAAGGCGGAUUAAUACCGCAUAUGCUCGUGGUCUGGCAUCAGGCAGCGAGGAAAGGAGCAAUCCGGUACGAGAUGACCAUGCGGCUGAUUAGCUAGUUGGCGGGGAGUGGCCCACCAAGGCGACGAUCAGUAGGGGACCUGAGAGGGCGAU